CUGUCAUGAAAGGUAACCCGGAAUGAGGAGAGAGAGGCCCAGAUACUGGCUAAAACCAAGCCCCUAAAUGUAUGGUGAAGAUCCUCCAGCCCCACUCAAGCCAUCAGCGACUUCAGCAAAAUGACAGAACAUACUUGAGAUCAGCACAAGAAUGACCCAGAUACAAGGCAAAGCGUGUAAGUGAUUAUGUAAUGGUGGGCUCAUGCAGCUUGCAAAACUUGGAAAGGAAACAAAGGAAUAAGGUUGCAGCAUGGCCAUUUAAAGCAGAAAUUAUGGCAACAAGGGGACCAUUGGCUCAGACAGCAAGAACACGACAGCCUGGUGGAAUGGUCAUUAAAAGAGAGAACCAUGGUCCCUGGGCACCCACUCAUCUCAGCUCUGCAACAGCAGCGAGGGAAUCUCAUGGCGUCUUCUGCUCCACCUGGACAGCUCCACUACAACUAAAGGCCGUGGAGCCAAAU
Non-coding RNA from Sus scrofa (pig), 461 nucleotides. The record is from RefSeq and is a predicted model, not a curated record. Lineage: Eukaryota; Metazoa; Chordata; Mammalia; Artiodactyla; Suidae.